UGUGAGGAGAGCCGUCCCAAAUCAAUGGAGCAUACCUACACACUCUGAACAAAAACAAAAGAAAAACACAUCCUGCACUUUUAUCCACCGUCAUAACAAAACUGGCAUCGGGUCGGCAGCAGUUUUACUUUGUUUGUUUUUUUUUUAACUGAGAGAGGAAUGAACCACUCUGGAAAAUAACGUCGGCUGAGCUGCACUAAGAAAAAGAGCCACCGCCGCUGGAUGGUUGAGCUGUGUCUGACGAAGCUGACCUGCAGUUUGAAUCCACCCUCGAAGACCAUGCUGUCCCUCCUGCUGCCUGCAAUGCUAGCCGUCCAAGCUGUGGCUGUGAUGGAAGUGCAAGUCCCGGAGCAGCCAGUGGUGGCGCUGCACGGCAGGGACACAAUACUCAACUGCUCCUUCACCCACGCCAGCCCCUUCAACCUGUCUGAUCUGAGCGUCUUCUGGCAGCUGACAGACACCAAACGCAAUGUGCACGGGUACUGGGAGGGACGCGACCAGCUGGCGGACCAAGCCGAGAGGUUCGCCAACCGUACCAGCCUGUUCCCCGCCCAGCUGGGCCUGGGCAACGCAUCGCUCCUGCUGAGCAGGGUGGUGGUGGCUGAUGAAGGCAGCUACACCUGCUUCGUCAGGGUGCAAGACUAUAGCAGUGCUGCUUUGCUGCUGCAGGUGGCCGCCCCUUAUUCCAAGCCUGUGGUGACUUUAGAGCCUGAAUCCAACCUGCGGCCAGGUGAUGAGGUGGCCCUGACUUGUGUGGCCUACGGUGGUUUUCCUGAGGCUGGCGUGAUAUGGCAGGAUGGGGGCGGGCGCAACCUGACGGACAAUAUCACCACUUCAUUGGUAGCCAAUGAGGAAGGGCUGUUUGCCAUAACCAGCGUGCUGACAGUCGUGCUGGAGCCCAAUAGUACCUACAGCUGCCGACUGAUCAACCCGUUACUGGGCGAGGAGGGCUACGCCUUUGUAACAAUCACAGGUCAGAACAUCGCAUUCCCCCCGGUGGCUCUGUGGGUAACUGUUGGCCUGGCUGUGUGUCUGCUGGUGCUGCUCAUUGCCCUGGCUGCUGUCUGCCGCAGGAAGAUCAAGGAGAGCUGCGAGGAGGCCAGAAGAGAAGCUGAAGAGGCCAAGGAGCUGGAAGAAGAAGAGUCAAAGACAGCCAUGACACCACUGAAAAGUUAAGGCCAAGGGAAUAAGGUAAUGCUCUGGAGGACUCAGUGUCUCUGGAGGCUAUGGCAGUAGCAGUAACUAAUGACAUAAGGAGGACCAUGAUCAAAUGUGCAGAGAGUCGGGGGCCAGACGGCGGGUAGGAGAUGAGUCUGGCGGGUAAUCCCACUCCACCUAUCCAUCAACCUGGAGACUAUUUCCAGCGUCCCCUACAGAAUGUCAAAGCCUCGCUGAGCAGAAGAUGAGUCCAUCAUCUUCUUUCUAAGACUUUCCCUCGAGUUUCCAUCAAAACACAUAAACACAUCAUGUGCCAUUAUUUUCUAUUGGCCUCCCCUCCCUUUCUGUCAAUGGAGGGCCGCGGCAGUGAGCGAAUGCGGCUGAGUGGGUUGUGUUCUAUGCAAAAGAGAAGCUGUUUGAAAACUACAGGAUGUGACAGGAUCCUUUCUCUGUCGCUGACAUCAGUCUGUAUGGGCUGUGAUGGGGCAUGUGCCAGAGAUCUCCUGUCUAAUAGGAAGUGAGACACUUAAAGAGAUGACCCUGCCUCAAUUGCCAUCACUGUCUCUCUGCCAGAGAGAGAGCUUGGCUCUCCCAUUACUCCUGCACUUGCUAAUUAGCGUCUGUCGUUGGAGUAACUUGUACCUGUCAGUGUGUGCCGCUCUCCUAUAUUCAGUAACUUGAAGGAAUUGAAAUUGAAUGCCAGCUAAGCUCCAACAAACUGCAAAUGGUGCAUGGGAUACACCCUGAUUUUCUCACUGACCUGACAGCCUUAUAUGUACGAAAUUGUUUUUAAUGAACACAGACUAUCUCAGCUAGUUGCUACUGCUGGUGUAGAAUGUUUUAUCUCUCCCAGGCUAGGGCCUGUACAGGUUGUUUUAUUGCUUUUUUUUUUUUUUUAGGUACUUGAGCAAGUCCCCCAUGCCAUAUGUCCAUGUAUGAAUGCCAAAGCCAUUUGUGUCAGAUAACCUAGUGCCUAUUUACAUUAAAGAGAC
Molecule: RNA transcript, 2150 nt
Organism: Toxotes jaculatrix (banded archerfish)
Lineage: Eukaryota; Metazoa; Chordata; Actinopteri; Toxotidae
Gene: cd276
Gene name: CD276 molecule
Exons: 10
Source: RefSeq, a predicted model, not a curated record